AUUGAACGCUGGCGGCAGGCCUAACACAUGCAAGUCGAACGUUAACAGGAAGAAGCUUGCUUCUUUGCUGACGAGUGGCGGACGGGUGAGUAAUGUCUGGGAAACUGCCUGAUGGAGGGGGAUAACUACUGGAAACGGUAGCUAAUACCGCAUAACGUCGCAAGACCAAAGAGGGGGACCUUCGGGCCUCUUGCCAUCGGAUGUGCCCAGAUGGGAUUAGCUAGUAGGUGGGGUAACGGCUCACCUAGGCGACGAUCCCUAGCUGGUCUGAGAGGAUGACCAGCCACACUGGAACUGAGACACGGUCCAGACUCCUACGGGAGGCAGCAGUGGGGAAUAUUGCACAAUGGGCGCAAGCCUGAUGCAGCCAUGCCGCGUGUAUGAAGAAGGCCUUCGGGUUGUAAAGUACUUUCAGCGGGGAGGAAGGGAGUAAAGUUAAUACCUUUGCUCAUUGACGUUACCCGCAGAAGAAGCACCGGCUAACUCCGUG
This 490-nucleotide ribosomal RNA is filed under the name uncultured bacterium. RNAcentral describes it as "partial 16S ribosomal RNA". It matches the Rfam family "Bacterial small subunit ribosomal RNA", at positions 30 to 507 of the family's 1533-position model. The record is from RNAcentral.